CACACACCUGUCUUCUUCUUCUUCUUCUUCUUCUUUACUUCUUCUUUUCCUCUUUCUCCUUCUUUAUUUUUCU
This 73-nucleotide non-coding RNA is filed under the name uncultured eukaryote. The record is from RNAcentral.